GAUGAAGAACGUAGCGAAAUGCGAUAAGUAGUGUGAAUUGCAGAAUUCAGUGAAUCAUCGAAUCUUUGAACGCACAUUGCGCCCCUUGGUAUUCCAUGGGGCAUGCCUGUUCGAGCGUCAUUUGUACCUUCAAGCUCUGCUUGGUGUUGGGUGUUUGUCUCGCCUCUGCGUGUAGACUCGCCUCAAAACAAUUGGCAGCCGGCGUAUUGAUUUCGGAGCGCAGUACAUCUCGCGCUUUGCACUCAUAACGACGACGUCCAAAAGUACAUUUUUACACUCUUGACCUCGGAUCAGGUAGGGAUACCCGCUGAACUUAAGCAUAUCAAGCGGAGGA
RNAcentral lists this unclassified non-coding RNA (334 nucleotides) under soil metagenome. RNAcentral describes it as "partial contains 5.8S ribosomal RNA, internal transcribed spacer 2, and large subunit ribosomal RNA". The stretch from base 1 to 120 matches the Rfam family "5.8S ribosomal RNA", at positions 35 to 154 of the family's 154-position model. The record is from RNAcentral.